CAGUCGCCGCGGUAAUACGAAGGGUGCAAGCGUUACUCGGAAUUACUGGGCGUAAAGCGUGCGUAGGUGGUGGUUAAGUCCGUUGUGAAAGCCCUGGGCUCAACCUGGGAAUUGCAGUGGAUACUGGGUCACUAGAGUGUGGUAGAGGAUAGUGGAAUUUCCGGUGUAGCAGUGAAAUGCGUAGAGAUCGGAAGGAACAUCUGUGGCGAAGGCGACUAUCUGGGCCAACACUGACACUGAGGCACGAAAGCGUGGGGAGCAAACAGGAUUAGAUACCCCGUAGUCCCUGUCUCUUAUACAC
This 301-nucleotide ribosomal RNA is filed under the name uncultured bacterium. RNAcentral's name for it is "partial 16S ribosomal RNA". It matches the Rfam family "Bacterial small subunit ribosomal RNA", at positions 509 to 809 of the family's 1533-position model. The record is from RNAcentral.